AAAAAAUUCUUUAUGGUUUGUAAAUUUAUUAUAAAUUUAUUUUACAUAUAAAUUUUAGUGUUAAAUAUUAAUUAUUUAAAUAAUAAUUAUUUAUUUUGUAGUAAUUAAUAUUAAAUUAUUUAAGGAAUUAAGAUUUAGUAAUAUUUAAAUUAAUAACAAAUUUUGUGCCAGCAGUUGCGGUUAAACAAAAAUUAAAYUAAAUUUUAUUAGUAAUUAAUWRMYAAAAUAAUUUUUAUAAUAAAAAUUUUAAAUUAUUAAGUGAAAUUUUAAUUUAAUUAAAAUUUAUGAUUAAAUUAUGAUUUAAUAAAUUUUUUAAAAAACUAGGAUUAGAUACCCUAUUAUUAAAAUUUAAAUUUAUAAUACUGAAAUAGUAGAUAAUUAUUUAUUGAAACUUAAAUAAUUUGGCGGUAUUUUAGUUCAUUUAGAGGAAUCUGUUUAUUAAUUGAUAAUCCACGAAUAAAUUUACUUAAUUUAAUAUUUUGUAUAUCGUUGUUAAAAAAAUAUUUUUAAAAAAAAUUAAUAUUUAAAAAUUAUAAAUUAAAUUAAAUCAGAUCAAGAUGCAGAUUAUAAUUAAGAAUAUAAUGGAUUACAAUAAAUUUAUUUAUAUGGAUAUUAAUUUGUAAAAAUUAAUUGAAGGUGGAUUUAAAUGUAAUUUUAUUUAAUUUAUUAAAAUGAUUAAAAAUUAAAAUAUGUACAUAUUGCCCGUCACUUUCAUAUAAUAUAAUUAUAAAUAUAAUUAUAAUAAAUUGAAAUAAGUCGUAACAAAGUAGAGGUACUGGAAAGUGUUUCUAGAAAGAA
RNAcentral lists this non-coding RNA (798 nucleotides) under Helicoverpa gelotopoeon. The record is from RNAcentral. Lineage: Eukaryota; Metazoa; Arthropoda; Insecta; Lepidoptera; Noctuidae.